RNAcentral lists this ribosomal RNA (497 nucleotides) under uncultured bacterium. RNAcentral's name for it is "partial 16S ribosomal RNA". It matches the Rfam family "Bacterial small subunit ribosomal RNA", at positions 28 to 507 of the family's 1533-position model. The record is from RNAcentral.
GAUGAACGCUGGCGGCGUGCCUAAUACAUGCAAGUCGAGCGAACGGACGAGAAGCUUGCUUCUCUGAUGUUAGCGGCGGACGGGUGAGUAACACGUGGAUAACCUACCUAUAAGACUGGGAUAACUUCGGGAAACCGGAGCUGAUACCGGAUGAUAUUUUGAACCGCAUGGUUCAAAAGUGAAAGACGGUCUUGCUGUCACUUAUAGAUGGAUCCGCGCUGCAUUAGCUAGUUGGUAAGGUAACGGCUUACCAAGGCAACGAUGCAUAGCCGACCUGAGAGGGUGAUCGGCCACACUGGAACUGAGACACGGUCCAGACUCCUACGGGAGGCAGCAGUAGGGAAUCUUCCGCAAUGGGCGAAAGCCUGACGGAGCAACGCCGCGUGAGUGAUGAAGGUCUUCGGAUCGUAAAACUCUGUUAUUAGGGAAGAACAUAUGUGUAAGUAACUGUGCACAUCUUGACGGUACCUAAUCAGAAAGCCACGGCUAACUACGUG